RNAcentral lists this ribosomal RNA (498 nucleotides) under uncultured bacterium. RNAcentral's name for it is "partial 16S ribosomal RNA". It matches the Rfam family "Bacterial small subunit ribosomal RNA", at positions 30 to 523 of the family's 1533-position model. The record is from RNAcentral.
AUUGAACGCUGGCGGCAUGCCUUACACAUGCAAGUCGAACGGCAGCGCGGACUUCGGUCUGGCGGCGAGUGGCGAACGGGUGAGUAAUACAUCGGAACGUACCCUGUUGUGGGGGAUAACUAGUCGAAAGAUUAGCUAAUACCGCAUACGACCUGAGGGUGAAAGUGGGGGACCGCAAGGCCUCACGCAGCAGGAGCGGCCGAUGUCUGAUUAGCUAGUUGGUGGGGUAAAGGCCCACCAAGGCGACGAUCAGUAGCUGGUCUGAGGACGAUCAGCCACACUGGUACUGAGACACGGCCAAGCAUACUACGGGAGGCAGCAGUGGGGAAUUUUGGACAAUGGGGGAAACCCUGAUCCAGCAAUGCCGCGUGUGUGAAGAAGGCCUUCGGGUUGUAAAGCACUUUUGUCCGGAAAGAAAUCGCGCUGGUUAAGACCUGGCGUGGAUGACAGUACCGGAAGAAUAAGCACCGGCUAACUACGUGCCAGCCGCCGCCGUAA